AGUUAACUUCCUUGUUUACAUGCUUUAUUAUGAUAUAAUAAUUAUUUUUUCUGAUUUUUUAACUUCAUUAGAUUCCAUAAUUAAUCAUUUGACCUUUGCACUGAUAAUUUAGAUUUAUUCUAAUUUAGAUUUUUUCUUUAGAUGUUCCCUUUAAAAUCAAACGUUUUAUAUAACCAUAUAAAGCGUUACUGUAAUAUUGCAUAUAUAUAUAUAUAUAUAUAUAUAUAUAUCAUCAUUGCUUCUAUUUAUCUCCUUUGAAACUUGAUAUUUCAGUAUUAAAGAGUACAGAAAUUGCAAUAUUAGGAUUAAAACAGUAUUGUUAUAUAUGUAUUGCUCUCUCAUGAAAGCUUUCAUUCAUUUUAUAGAAAUCUGAAAAUAUUUCAUCAUUUGCAUUCAGAACGCACGCCUAUUUAAUAUAUUUAUAAAAAUAAUAAGAAUAAAAUUUAUAUGAUCUUUGUAAAUAGUAUCAUCUGUUCUAAUCUUAAAGUAUCAUUAUAGUCGAUUAGUAACGUGUAUCUGGAUAUAAGUGAUACUAUUGAUAAUAUUAUUGAAAAGUCUUCUUUCUUGUAUAACGUAAUAAUUAAUGCUAAAAAUAAUUAUUGCAAAAUUGAAACACAUAAAUAAUUAAAUGUGCUUAACGAAAUGCAUCCUUCAUUCAUGUUUUCAUAUUAAAACACGAAUACAAUUAAAUCCAAAUAAUUUUAAUUAUUUACAUUGUAGACAUUCAUUUUAUUGAAAAUUGUUUGUAAGGAUUUGUUUAAAUUCAUUGGUGAAAGAUAUAUUGUAUAUGCAGCUUAGUAUAUUUCUUGUUUUUAUAAUUUUAUUUAUAACUGAUGUAAUUUGGUAAAAUGAUUAAAUAUUAAUAGAUUGGAAAGUUUCCAGGUAUUUCUACAAUGUGUGGUAUUUUUGAGUUUUGUUCCAUCAUACCAUCCCUGGCUUAUCUAUUUUCUCUCAGUGAUUGGUCUUCAAGGGUGCAACAUAUUGCUCUACAUAUUGCUUGUGAUACUUAUUUAUUCCAGCG
This is a long non-coding RNA of Vespa crabro (European hornet), 1021 nucleotides long. RefSeq lists it as uncharacterized. NCBI's taxonomy places the organism in Eukaryota, Metazoa, Arthropoda, Insecta, Hymenoptera, Vespidae. The record is from RefSeq and is a predicted model, not a curated record. The transcript has 2 exons.